CCCAUUUUAGGAAGUGGAAUGAAAUAUUUUGCUGCUUAAUUGAGUUAGCAAAUAUUUUCUACUUUCAACUUCUUCUUGAUUUUAUUCUUGAAAUCUUAAAUACAAUUUCGUUGCAGGUGCAAAAAUACAUAGUGACUGGAAAAGAUGACAAGCCCCGUACCAUUGAUCCGACCAAACGACAAGGAAUUGCUGCUUCUUUUAAUAGCAAAAAUAAUGAACGGCUACGAUGACCCAAGAAUCCCUGUAAUUAAUAUCAACGAUCAUGAGCCUCGGGUGUUACCUGGGCUUUCAGGAGUAAUAAACUCGAGUGAUCGAGAGUGGUAUUUCUUUCGUCCUCGCCAAGAAAUAAACAGGAGGAAAACGGACGCUGGAUACUGGAAAGUUACCGGCUACGGAUCGAAGAUUAAGGAGGGACGGGAAGAGAUAGGUACAAAAACAAUAUUGGUUUACCAUGAGGGUCCUUACUCGGAGUAAGGACCAGGUGGAUCAUGCACGAAUAUGAUGCCACUUGUUUUGCAGACCAACUGCGCAC
RNAcentral lists this unclassified non-coding RNA (532 nucleotides) under Hevea brasiliensis (rubber tree). Lineage: Eukaryota; Viridiplantae; Streptophyta; Magnoliopsida; Malpighiales; Euphorbiaceae. The record is from RNAcentral.